AUUGCCUCAGUAACGGCGAGUGAAGCGGCAACAGCUCAAAUUUGAAAUCUGGCCCCAGGUCCGAGUUGUAAUUUGCAGAGGAUGCUUUUGGCGCGGUGCCUUCCGAGUUCCCUGGAACGGGACGCCACAGAGGGUGAGAGCCCCGUCUGGUUGGACACCAAGCCUAUGUAAAGCUCCUUCGACGAGUCGAGUAGUUUGGGAAUGCUGCUCUAAAUGGGAGGUACAUGCCUUCUAAAGCUAAAUACCGGCCAGAGACCGAUAGCGCACAAGUAGAGUGAUCGAAAGAUGAAAAGCACUUUGGAAAGAGAGUUAAAAAGCACGUGAAAUUGUUAAAAGGGAAGCGUUUAUGACCAGACGUGGGCCGGUUAAUCAUCCAGCGUUCUCGCUGGUGCACUUUGCCGGUCCAGGCCAGCAUCAGUUCGCCGCGGGGGACAAAGGCGUCGGGAAUGUGGCUCCUCGGAGUGUUAUAGCCCUUCGCGCAAUACCCUGGGGCGGACUGAGGUUCGCGCUCUGCAAGGAUGCUGGCGUAAUGGUCAUCAACGACCCGUCUUGAAACACGGACCAAGGAGUCGUCUUCGUAUGCGAGUGUUCGGGUGUAAAACCCCUACGCGUAAUGAAAGUGAACGCAGGUGAGAGCUUCGGCGCAUCAUCGACCGAUCCUGAUGUUCUCGGAUGGAUUUGAGUAAGAGCAUACGGGGCCGGACCCGAAAGAAGGUGAACUAUGCCUGUAUAGGGUGAAGCCAGAGGAAACUCUGGUGGAGGCUCGCAGCGGUUCUGACGUGCAAAUCGAUCGUCAAAUAUGGGCAUGGGCGCGAAAGACUAAU
RNAcentral lists this ribosomal RNA (824 nucleotides) under Cymostachys coffeicola. RNAcentral describes it as "eukaryotic LSU rRNA". It matches the Rfam family "Eukaryotic large subunit ribosomal RNA", at positions 74 to 935 of the family's 3401-position model. Lineage: Eukaryota; Fungi; Ascomycota; Sordariomycetes; Hypocreales; Stachybotryaceae. The record is from RNAcentral.